This 119-nucleotide ribosomal RNA is filed under the name Ochotona princeps (American pika). Lineage: Eukaryota; Metazoa; Chordata; Mammalia; Lagomorpha; Ochotonidae. The record is from RNAcentral.
GUCUAUCGUCAUACCACCCUGAAUGCACCCAAUUCGUCUGAUCUCGGAAGCUAACCAGGGUCAGUCCUGGUUAGUACUUGAAUGGGAGAUUGAUUUUUAUUGGAAAAGCAGAUCAGAUU